UACGAGGGGUGCAAGCGUUGCUCGGAAUUAUUGGGCGUAAAGGGUAGGUAGGUGGUCUCAUUUGUCUGGGGUGAAAGCCUCGAGCUUAACUCGAGAAGUGCCUCGGAAACGGUGAGACUAGAGUCUUGGAGAGGGUCGUGGAAUUCCCGGUGUAGCGGUGAAAUGCGUAGAGAUCGGCAGGAACACCCAGGGGGAAACCAGCCGACUGGGCAUCUACUGACGCUGAGGUGCGAGAGCGUGGGGAGCGAACCGG
This 253-nucleotide ribosomal RNA is filed under the name uncultured bacterium. RNAcentral describes it as "partial 16S ribosomal RNA". It matches the Rfam family "Bacterial small subunit ribosomal RNA", at positions 524 to 776 of the family's 1533-position model. The record is from RNAcentral.